Molecule: ribosomal RNA, 253 nt
Filed under: uncultured bacterium
Lineage: Bacteria
Description: partial 16S ribosomal RNA
Rfam family: Bacterial small subunit ribosomal RNA
Source: RNAcentral
UACAGAGGGUGCAAGCGUUGUUCGGAAUCAUUGGGCGUAAAGGGCUCGUAGGCGGCCAACUAAGUCAGACGUGAAAUCCCUCGGCUUAACCGGGGAACUGCGUCUGAUACUGGAUGGCUUGAAUCCGGGAGAGGGAUGCGGAAUUCCAGGUGUAGCGGUGAAAUGCGUAGAUAUCUGGAGGAACACCGGUGGCGAAGGCGGCAUCCUGGACCGGCAUUGACGCUGAGGAGCGAAAGCCAGGGGAGCAAACGGG